Long non-coding RNA from Mugil cephalus (flathead mullet), 2152 nucleotides. RefSeq lists it as uncharacterized. Lineage: Eukaryota; Metazoa; Chordata; Actinopteri; Mugiliformes; Mugilidae. The record is from RefSeq and is a predicted model, not a curated record. The transcript has 3 exons.
UUCAGGUUUGCUUAAAAAAAAAGAAAAAAAAAAGAAAGAAAGAAAAUGGGGCAACACUGUCGAGGUGCUCAAUGAAGCAGGUGUUUUUGAUUAAAGCGGUAGCAAAGGUGCUCUGAGUGCGUUUCAGUAGCCCAGCGAUCGCACUCCAUCAUGUGCUGGAGGUGCUGGGAGUUGACAGGCGGACACGAAGACAGGAACAGCGAAGGACAGCUGAGGCGGAGGUACAAUGGACCCCGGAGUGACACGACUGUCAAUUUCUGGCGCGCCUGCGUCAAACCUGGUCUUUGUGACAACACGGAGUUCGUGUGAAGGAAAGUGUCCACUGUGCAAGGGGAAAGUCUCUGCUUUUUGGGUUUGGGCAGCAUCAGAACUGGUAUCGGUUACUGGAUUAGGCUCCUCUUAUCCAUCAAAGGAAAGAAUCAAGUAAAAGAAUGUUUGAACGCCGACAGAAUUUUGACAGUCUCUGUCAUCAUGCCGGCCUGUUUGGGGUCGAUCGCCCGUGCCAACAGCAACAAGCUUCGCUCAUCUCCCAAGAUCCUUUGCAGUCCAUACUGUGGGAAAGAGCAGCUUCUCCAACGCAUCCAGGAGAAGGCCGAGACCUUCGUGGCCGAAGUUAUUAACCCAACUGAAAAACAGCAACAAAAGAGAAGCAGAAACGCAUGAAAAAUCAGCCGGCGCGAUAUUCAGUCAAACCCUGUCGGUUCACCAGAAGCCAUGCUGAUCACAGAAGGAAGCGAGCACAAACAAUAUUGCAUUAACCUCAGAGGAAAUCAGUCAUUCAGACUAAUAUCAGAGGCUUAACACUUAACCAGAUAAAUUGACUGUUGUAGUGGUUUUUAAUUCCUAACAGGGAGCACUGCAAAUCAAAAACCUCCCUGCCCUCUCCCUGACACCUAAUACAGUGUGAAUCAGUUUGAAUUUAAACUGUACCCAUUUACAAGCAAAUGAACACCCAUCCAUCUUAACUAGUGUUCCCAUCUCUGAGCAGCUCGCAUCCAGGCCCCCCUCCUGUGAGCUACUAUGUUACUGCGCCAAAAGAUUAAGCAAUGCAAGAAAGAUAACACUGUAAUCGAUAAUGGAUUGCGAGAGAUAAUUGGCUAUAAACCACACCGUAUCAGGAGACAGCAAAUGAUCCAGUGCAGAUGAGCCUGUUUGUCUCAGGGAAGGGGAGAGACAGGAGGAGGAUGGGAGUGACAGCGUGGUCACAGUCAGAUUAUGUCAUUAGCAUUACUUGUUUUCAGGCCUCUAACUGUCAAUAAUACAAAAUGCAUGGAGCAAUUUUCUGACAUUAACGGGGCAACAGUCAAUGAUUUAUCCCGCCUUUCUGACAAUGAUUUGAAAUAAUAAUGGUUUGGGUAUUAAAGCCAUUUGUAUUGACUCGGUGAGUCGGAAGAGACCCUCAAUUAGGCAUGAGAUGCAUUAGCCCGAGGCAGCCGGAGAAGUUGAGGUGAGGUAUUUCUUUGAUCUGUGACUAAAUUAGCACGUACGACAAACACCCACCUAACAUUACUCAAAUUUCAUUCGCAGACAAGCACGGCCAAUUUAGAAGUUAUUAAUAUUUACGGCGGCGCAUAACGAUGAUCUGUUUUCUUAAUAAAAACGAAACAUGAUAAUGUUUACAAAUGUCUUUAUAAAUGUCUGAUUACAAAGAGACGCCGAAUCCGAACGCGUCUUUCCUGCGCGUACUUGGCGCACGCUGAAGCCCACAAAACAGGAGAAGGAACCAGUCAAGAGAGGCUCAGUUUCCCGCACAAUAACAAGUCAGUUGUAUUUCUAUUUGUGACACAGAGGUGCUAGGAGUCAAUUAAAGAGUGGAAGGACAUGGCUGAGGGAGCACAAUUCACUAAGUCCACAGCCUUUGUUUAUGCUCCUUAGCAAUAAUGGUAAUGUCAGUCUUUGGAGAGCAGGAAAUGGGACCAAUAUUUGUGAAGAGAAAUGUUGUUCAUUAUAACACUGUGUAACUAUAAUACGCGGUUUUGGGAUCAUUAGCCCAUAAGUGUGUGAGAACACUUCUGAGAAAUGACCAUUUAACACUCACAACAAGUGAGAUGUAAAUGUACCGCAUGUGUACAUGUAAUUACAUUUCUAACAAUUCUGUAUUGCAUUGUGUUUUUUUUCACAAAUUGAAAAUAAAAGAGUUUGUUUUCUGGCA